Cydia strobilella is the source of this 1231-nucleotide long non-coding RNA. RefSeq lists it as uncharacterized. The record is from RefSeq and is a predicted model, not a curated record. The transcript has 2 exons. NCBI's taxonomy places the organism in Eukaryota, Metazoa, Arthropoda, Insecta, Lepidoptera, Tortricidae.
UCUAAAAACAUUGUAUCUUUUUAAGCUGGUAUUUCUUUUGGUAAUAUUUGACUAAUAUUUCUCUACAACUCUGACAUGACACAGAUAUUAGCCAAAUAUGGUCAAUUGAAGUACCCUAAUUAAUGAGGAUAAGCAAUCUUGGGUCACAUGGUAAGGUUCAGGCCAGUAACCAACUUCUCUUCACCUUACUAUGGACUUCAGGAUUGUUUGAUCCUAGGUCCGUACAUCUGACACAUUAGUGACAAAAAAAUUUGAGUUAAGUAGCUGGUUAACAUGCCAAUUUCAUUAAUAAACUACUUAAAUAUAAGCUGCUUUGAAGAAGCACAAGUUUCUUUUAACACUUUCGCGACCGGGCAAAAUUUUGAACAAUACCCCAGAAACCGGUCGUCUAUAGCUGCUUAUAAAACAACCCGCUGGGCGGGUUGUCCGGCAUCUGAGCAAAGUUCACGAGUGCCUACCAGGCGGGUUCUCGGUAGUCAAAGUGUUAAGUUAACACACUUUUCUGGAGCAUAUGCUAGGGGAUAUGACAUCCAAAAAAUAUGUAAUUUUUUUGUCUAUUAAGUUUCAUUAUUUGUUUUGGCAAAUUUUUCUGUGCAUAUUUUAACUCUUGUGUCUUCAUAACCUCUAUGCAUCAGACAAUCCUGGAAUGCUCUGGCAAUUUGAAAUGUUGACGGAGUGCUAUCAGGUGUGGAAAUAUCACUUUAACUUGGCCUCAGGAGGAUAUCAAUAAUUUCACAAAUAACAUCAUUAGUUAUUACAAAAAUUGUGAGAUGGUGUAAAAUUGCAUUUUAUUAACUAAUUUUAUUUGUGUAGUACUUAAAUAAGGAUUGAAAACCAAAUAAUAAAAACAAAAUUAAGGACAAGUCAAGUAGUAAAGGAUAGUAUAAAACUGAGUGAUUAUCUAGUAUUAGUUUUAGUUUGGUAUUUCAAAGUUAAAUCUCAUUUAUGUAGGUAUUUCAUAGUUGACUCUCUGACAAAACUGUUUUGAGCUAUUUGAAAAAUGUAGUUUGUAUUCUAAGUACCUAGUACUUGCAAGUGUAUUUUUUCUUGUAAAUUAAUAAUUUAAUUGUUAUUUUACUUCAUAAAAAUUUGUAUGAAAAAUUACAUUGAAUCAACUUAUCAAGUGCAGACACUGUUUAUUUCCAUUUUAUUAGUAAUUGUAACAAAGCCUGCAUUAGGUACAUAUUUAUUUUCAUUAAUGUAAAUAAAAUAAACAAUGUUUUUUGUUAUA